CCUACGGGGGGCUGCAGUGGGGAAUAUUGCACAAUGGGCGCAAGCCUGAUCCAGCAACGCCGCGUGAAUGAAGACGGUUUUCGGAUUGUACACUUCUAUCAAUAGGGAAGAAAGAAAUGACGGUACCUAAAUAAGAAGCCCCGGCUAACUACGUACCAGCAGCCGCGGUAAUACGUAGGGGGCAAGCGUUAUCCGGAAUUACUGGUUGUAAAGGGAGCGUAGGCGGCAAGGUAAGCGAUAUGUGAAAGCCUUAAGCUUAACUUAAGGAUUGCAUAACGAACUAUCUAGCUAGAGUACAGGAGAGGAAAGCGGAAUUCCUAGUGUAGCGGUGAAAUGCGUAGAUAUUAGGAAGAACACCAGUGGCGAAGGCGGCUUUCUGGACUGAAACUGACGCUGAGGCUCGAAAGCGUGGGGAGCGAACAGGAUUAGAUACCCUUGUAGUC
RNAcentral lists this ribosomal RNA (443 nucleotides) under uncultured bacterium. RNAcentral describes it as "partial 16S ribosomal RNA". It matches the Rfam family "Bacterial small subunit ribosomal RNA", at positions 338 to 795 of the family's 1533-position model. The record is from RNAcentral.